Long non-coding RNA from Arachis ipaensis, 869 nucleotides. RefSeq lists it as uncharacterized. NCBI's taxonomy places the organism in Eukaryota, Viridiplantae, Streptophyta, Magnoliopsida, Fabales, Fabaceae. The record is from RefSeq and is a predicted model, not a curated record.
AGAUGCUGCCGUCCACCUCGUCAGAGCUCUUCCGGUCAUCUAGUCGUGUUUGCUGAGGGAAACCCGCUGCAAUGGAGGCGGCGUCCACUCUGAAGGAAAUUCACCUACUUUCUGAAAACCUCCAUUACUGAUUCUCCCUUGUUGGCUUCCAUAAAUUACUGAUUCUCCAUUUCUGUAGCACCUUCACUACCCACGCACCUCCUCGGCUACACUCACUUUCUAACCUUCUUUUCUUUCAUUUAGUUUCUCAAAGAAAUGGAAGAAUAUUUUAACCGAGUCCAUUAUGGAACGGUCUUGUACACUCAAACAUGUGGUACCAAAGAAUCCGGUGACCAAUUUGGUUUUAUUCAAACGGACGAACCUAGACUCCCUAUCUACUUUCACCAAAGCCACGUAAGUCGAUCAAAUAGACUUGAGCCAUUUGAUGUAGUCAAAUUCAAAUUGUACCAACAUCCAAAUUACCUUACAGAAGCGGUAGAAAUUUGUUUCGAGGAUGAACAAGUUUAUGUCAAAGCAGAGAAACGGCUUACUUACCCACAAGAUCAUUGUGAAAAAUGCGGUUUUGACGGCCAUCUUAAAACCCUCUGCAUGCCUCCCCCGGAAAGUUAUCGUUUUCGAUCGGAAAUUGAAUUAUUUGAAUCAUAAAGACGGUUGGAGAUGCAUGUGUGUUGGCAGAUCAAGGACUGAAAUCGCGAUUAUUAAACCAAGUAGGAUGUUUAGCGAACCAUGUCAAGGGAGACUGCUAGUUUUAUUGAAUUCUCUAAUCUAGCUUAUAUAUAUUGUAAGUCUCAUUUAAUAUGUGUUCUAACUUUUAGCAAGAUACUAAAUAUAUGUAUUUGGUGUAUUGUUGUGUGACUGCUAUUCUCAAA